AUACGGAGGGUGCAAGCGUUAUUCGGAUUUACUGGGCGUAAAGGGCGCGUAGGCGGAUAGAUAAGUCAGUCGUGAAAGCCCGGGGCUCAACCCCGGAAGUGCGAUUGAAACUAUUUGGCUUGAGUAUGGUAGAGGGAAGUGGAAUUCCUGGUGUAGCGGUGAAAUGCGUAGAUAUCAGGAGGAACACCGGUGGCGAAGGCGACUUCCUGGACCAAUACUGACGCUGAGGCGCGAAGGUGUGGGUAGC
This 247-nucleotide ribosomal RNA is filed under the name uncultured bacterium. RNAcentral describes it as "partial 16S ribosomal RNA". It matches the Rfam family "Bacterial small subunit ribosomal RNA", at positions 523 to 769 of the family's 1533-position model. The record is from RNAcentral.